This 963-nucleotide long non-coding RNA is filed under the name Cricetulus griseus (Chinese hamster). RNAcentral's name for it is "lncRNA (ENSCGRG00000024592.1)". Lineage: Eukaryota; Metazoa; Chordata; Mammalia; Rodentia; Cricetidae. The record is from RNAcentral.
CUGCCAUGAUGACGCCUAUGUGAAUAUGAACUAUCAAUAAUACUGUGUGUUUGUAUCUACAGGCUGGAAGGGGAAAAGAAAGAGAUGUGGCAGAGUCGUACUGAGUUCACCUUCAUCUUAAGUUGGUCCCCAGCAGUGAGCUCAGUCACAAAAGAGGAUCGUGUCUUCCCUGGAAAGGAGAAGAAUAUUUGGAGCCAUUACAAUUGUACACCAAAUAGCAUAAAACAAGAUGCAUUCACUCACAGUUUGAAAAUGUUGGGAACAGCCCGUGGCGAUGGAAUAUGAUACCGGUUCAUGUUAUGAGGGUCAAAAAAACUCAGAAUGCCACUCUCCAAGAUUUUUUCUUCUUGAGUAUGCUUAUGUUUUACUUUUAAAAAAGUAAAAAGAGAAAUAGCACCAAUGUAAAUGUCUGUAAAAGCCAAAAUUUCACUUACUUUGACAUUUCAGCUUUCCUUCCUAUUGUGUUGCCUUUCAAAGGACCAAUGUCAGAACUCAUUGGUUGUUGGCAUAGCCUGGCCAGUCCUGGGCAAAGCAUCAUACAGUACAGUAGUAUGAAAGAGACUGCAAUGAUCAAAGUGAAAAACAUAUGGUUGUUCUUCAUCCUGUGAACUUUUCACUGGAACACAGUUAAGUGAAGCUUGGUCUUAAAAGCAGAAAAUGCUGAUAUUGAUGGUACUGGAUAUGCUGCUACUAUCUAGAAAGGUAAAUGUUCAAGCUAAAUGACUAUAGAGUAAUAAAAGUGCAUUAAAUAAACAUGAAAACAUGCAAGUCAAAACAAUAAACAGAAAGUGGCCUACAGAAAGUGUUAGUCUAGGAGAUGAGCAAAGCCUUCAAAUAUCCAACCAUGCCAUUGUUAUUUUAUGUGCACAAACUAGUUGUACAAACAAGGCUGCAUAUGACUUUGUUUAUAAAUACUAAAAAAAUUGUUCUAAAAUAAACUGCAAAGAAAAAUGAGUAUUAACC